Molecule: long non-coding RNA, 695 nt
Filed under: Marmota monax (woodchuck)
Lineage: Eukaryota; Metazoa; Chordata; Mammalia; Rodentia; Sciuridae
Source: RNAcentral
NGGGGAUCACACAACAAUGUGAGGUUACCAUUGGGGUUCUGUGUUACCGCAAAGUUGAAAAGAAAAAUGGAACAUUGUAUUUUAGGGUGAAGGACAACUUUGUGGUGACCUGACCAGAAAGCCAAAAGGAAGUAUAAAUUAUUUUUUCACUAGUGUGUUGGGACAGGAAUACUAUUUGGUAAGCUUCACCAAAGAAAAAUUGAGUGGAAGUAAAGGUGUGUGUGUAUUUAUGUAAAGGAGACUCACAACACAUUUCAACCAGCAAUGGUGAUUAAUAGCUUAGUUAGUUUUUCUUGUGUGUAUGCUAAAGAUCCCCUUCCAUCUACCAACUUGUUUGUUUUUGUAACCAAACACAUUUUCAAAUAUAAGGAACCUUAAAAAAAAGUCACAUUGGGUAUCUUCAGUAUGAAUGAGUGAAAGCCGCCCCUCACCCUCCCACCCUUAGUGGUUUAUUCUCAGAUCUUCCUGGUCUUUUAAGCAGAAAAACAAGUGGUAUCAUUACCUUUUGGAAACUGAGCCUUAAAUAUUUUUAAAGGGGGGAAAUAAGCAUUCCCUAACUCAAAUAGCAUAAGCAAUGUUGAAUAGCAAUAUAAUACCACUGUAAACUCUUGAGUAUUAUCUCUCCUGGUAACCUUGUACAGAAUGUGAACUGUCUUACCAUGAACAUAAAUAAAUUUUAUAUUUUUAAACAUAUG